GAUGAAGAACGCAGCGAAAUGCGAUACGUAAUGUGAAUUGCAGAAUUCAGUGAAUCAUCGAAUCUUUGAACGCCUAUUGCGCUCUCUGGUAUUCCGGAGAGCAUGCUUGUUUGAGUAUCAGUAAACACCUCAACUUCCAUAUCUUCUUUGAAAUGGGAGUUGGACUUGAGUGAUCCCAACGCUUUUCCUCACCGAAAAGUGGCGGGUUACUUGAAAUGCAGGUGCAGCUGGACUUUUCUCUGAGCUAUAAGCAUAUCUAUUUAGUCUGCCUAAAAAACAGAUUAUUACCUUUGCUGCAGCUAACAUAAAGGAGAUUAGUUCUUGUGCUGACUGAUGCAGGAUUCACAAAGACAGGCUUCGGCCGACUUUGUAAACUCGAUCUCAAAUCAAGUAAGACUACCCGCUGAACUUAAGCAUAUCAAUAAGCGGAGGA
RNAcentral lists this unclassified non-coding RNA (433 nucleotides) under soil metagenome. RNAcentral's name for it is "partial contains 5.8S ribosomal RNA, internal transcribed spacer 2, and large subunit ribosomal RNA". The stretch from base 1 to 120 matches the Rfam family "5.8S ribosomal RNA", at positions 35 to 154 of the family's 154-position model. The record is from RNAcentral.